CGCGUGAGCAAAUGGAGAAACUGAGUCACGGGGCUGGCAAGUGGUUCUGCAGAAGCUGCGAGGCUGAGUCAGGCCGGGCGCCGGGAACUUGCGGGCCUCACGUGAGGGGUACGCCCAGGGCCAGUUGUGGAACCCUCUGAGCCCAGGUACGCUUGGGGUGGAGCACUUGCAACCACCUAUGUCACUUUGGUGGUGGUGUCCAGACCUGCGGAGAGAGGCCAUAAAGACAGGCCUCUGUCCUUCUCUGCCCUGAGGCGAGAAGUUUAGUUCUGCUCAGACCUGAAACUUGUGCAACAAUGAUUGGGUUCAUCCUUAGGCACAGAAGUUCCAGGACCUUCCGUAAGCGGCAGGCAACGCAGCCAAAUUGACGCUCCCAGACGACGGUGAGCAGCUACCGGCCUUCUCUCUUGGCUGUUGGCCUCCUGACCCACGGAGGGUCUGCAGGCUGUCUGGGUUGAGCCCCCUCAGCAGGGGCAAAAGGCUGCCCCUGGGGAUGUCUCUGGCUGGAAAGGGGGAACAGAGG
This 523-nucleotide long non-coding RNA is filed under the name Lynx pardinus (Iberian lynx). The record is from RNAcentral. Lineage: Eukaryota; Metazoa; Chordata; Mammalia; Carnivora; Felidae.